RNAcentral lists this ribosomal RNA (253 nucleotides) under uncultured bacterium. Its description in RNAcentral is "partial 16S ribosomal RNA". It matches the Rfam family "Bacterial small subunit ribosomal RNA", at positions 524 to 776 of the family's 1533-position model. The record is from RNAcentral.
UACGUAGGGUGCGAGCGUUAAUCGGAAUUACUGGGCGUAAAGCGUGCGCAGGCGGUGAUGUAAGACAGUUGUGAAAUCCCCGGGCUCAACCUGGGAACUGCAUCUGUGACUGCAUCGCUAGAGUACGGCAGAGGGGGAUGGAAUUCCGCGUGUAGCAGUGAAAUGCGUAGAUAUGCGGAGGAACACCGAUGGCGAAGGCAAUCCCCUGGGCCUGUACUGACGCUCAUGCACGAAAGCGUGGGGAGCAAACAGG